Non-coding RNA from Rattus norvegicus (Norway rat), 742 nucleotides. The record is from RefSeq and is a predicted model, not a curated record. Lineage: Eukaryota; Metazoa; Chordata; Mammalia; Rodentia; Muridae.
CCGUUACUCGGCCUGUCGUGGGCAUGCGCAUGCGUGGCAGGGGAGGUCCAGGAACACAGUGUGGGGAGCCCCCGGGUGGACGCCGGGUCCUUUGCGGACGCUGUGCCGUUGUGAGGAUGCUUGGAGGUGCCGCCGCGGGGUCUCGGGGAGCCCGGCCUUCCAUACCAAUCUAUCACUAGCUGGAGCUGUCCCUUCCCAGCUGGUCAGGGACCCCUGGGUGACGGCCAGCUUCCCGUUAGAAUCACCUCGAGGGAGCAGGAGCUAGACUAGGCCUUAGAAAUGACGUAAGAAGCCGCAGGCGACUCCGUGUGCAAUGCUGGGAGAGCUGUGGUUUAUCCAUGGGUUUUCCCUGCUCUGUGGCUGGGUCUGAGGGCUGCACCUCGCCCCACCCUUAGGAUCCAGUCCUGCCACACUUGCUUUUGGAGUUGGAUGCAGAAGCGUGACCCUUGCUCUCAGCCUCGUGGAAGGCCCAGGAAAAUGAAAUCCAAGGUUAGUCACUUCAGAGUACUGUGAAAGAAAAAUUCAUGAUAACAGUUUUCAUUCUAUGUGGAAGAAGUGAUUAAUGGGUUCUUUAUAAUAAGAAUCGUGCUUCAUGGAAUAAAUCAUCUUGAAUUCUUAAGGCAAGAUGAUGUCAGAAUCACAAGCAAAGGAAUAACGGCUGAAAGUGCUCAAACCCAAGGAUCAGCAAGUCCAAUUUUAAAAACUUUCCACGCUUUAUUAAAGCUACACAUGUCCAGCUCCA